GCCAGUGUGGCGAAAUUGGUAGACGCAGCGGAUUCAAAAUCCGCCGGUGGCAACACUGUGCCGGUUCGAGUCCGGCCACUGGUACCA
RNAcentral lists this transfer RNA (87 nucleotides) under Simiduia agarivorans SA1 = DSM 21679. RNAcentral describes it as "tRNA-Leu (CAA) (tRNA-Leu-CAA-1-1)". It matches the Rfam family "tRNA". Rfam says of the family: Transfer RNA (tRNA) molecules are approximately 80 nucleotides in length. Their secondary structure includes four short double-helical elements and three loops (D, anti-codon, and T loops). Further hydrogen bonds mediate the characteristic L-shaped molecular structure. tRNAs have two regions of fundamental functional importance: the anti-codon, which is responsible for specific mRNA codon recognition, and the 3' end, to which the tRNAs corresponding amino acid is attached (by aminoacyl-tRNA synthetases). tRNAs cope with the degeneracy of the genetic code in two manners: having more than one tRNA (with a specific anti-codon) for a particular amino acid; and 'wobble' base-pairing, i.e. permitting non-standard base-pairing at the 3rd anti-codon position. Lineage: Bacteria; Pseudomonadati; Pseudomonadota; Gammaproteobacteria; Cellvibrionales; Cellvibrionaceae. The record is from RNAcentral.